This 1787-nucleotide unclassified non-coding RNA is filed under the name Ooceraea biroi (clonal raider ant). RNAcentral's name for it is "uncharacterized LOC105287103, transcript variant X1". Lineage: Eukaryota; Metazoa; Arthropoda; Insecta; Hymenoptera; Formicidae. The record is from RNAcentral.
GGCGGUCUAUCUUCACGCAAUCCGAGGCGCGAGUGCAAACCUUGAGGGCGUAUCGCGUUUGGUUGUAGUAAAUAUAACCUCAACCGUGUAUAUUGGUGGUAUUUGUUUGCAAUACAUUUUCUUUUCGAUAUGACUAAGUCGUGCGCGGUGCCGAACUGCAAAACGGGAUAUAAAAGUAUAAAACAAAAGUGCUCCGUUUUUAAAGUGCCAAGAAACGUUGAACAAUUUAAAAAAUGGCAAGUAGCAAUCUCUGGCAUUGAAUUGAAGCAAUCGCAAUUCGUUUGCGAGAAGCACUUUGAAGAACAAUACAUUCUAAGAAAAUGGAUAAAACGCGACUGCGAUGGUCGAAUUAUUGCUCAAGUUCCCUAUGUGCAUCCAAAGCUAGCCAAGUCAGCAGUUCCAACAGUAUUCGACAGCCCUACUGAGAUGGAACAAGGUGUCUCAAAAUUUCAAGAAUCUCAGUUGCAGGAUAAGCUUGUCGAGCACAAGGUUGAUUCGCCGCAAGAGUCCAUUCAAUGUAAGGUUCUUCCGCCGAAGGAGAUUGUUGGUAUCACAUCAACUGUGCAAAAUUAUGCAGUAGUAGUAGUAGAUUCAGUGCCUACAAUGCCUACAGUGUCCACAGUGUGUGAUAGAAAUUUCGAUAUUUCAAACAUCACAAUCAACAAUCGUAUUAGUAAAGUGGCUACGACUAGUGAAAACGAUUCUAUCACCGUACCAAAAUCGUGGGCUGUUACGGAAUACAAUGAAGAAGGAGGACAAAGCGUAGUCUUCUCACGUCUCGUAAAGAUGUGUAGAAAUAGUAUGCAAAUACCAGUACUAGAAAAAAGUAUUAUAGUUAAGACUGAUAAAAUACUUCACUACUACGUUCAUGGGCGUCCCGUGGAUCCAGAGAGAUGUCAACUCCCUCCAGUUUUGGAAGACAUUACAUUGCUGCUGAACACUUUGGAAAGAUUCAAAAACAUGAAUGUUUGUAAUGGUCUAGGUGCUAUCAACGUUCAUCAUUUGUCGGUUGAUACUGCGUUUAAAGACUAUGUUGAACGAUGGCACGACAACAACUGUACGAUGAUCUCGAAACGGAAAAGAUGUGAUAGCUGCAUAAAGAAGAAGAAACAAAUAAUGCAGAGGGAAGCGAGAUUGAAGAAAACUCAAACAUUAAAGCGUAUACGCCGAAUGUCAAAUCCCAUCGAUCAAAAGAAGCUCAUGACUUUACAGAAGAAGUAUGUUUGUGAAAGGCGCGAAAAAAACAAAAUCAAGCAAUGCAUACAAUUAAUAACUCAAUCGUUGAAAGAAAAGGCCGACUAAAUCUCUUCUAUUCAUGCCGAUAUGUUGGACGAAAAGUGUGCAAAAUUGGACCUCUCAACUGCGCAACAGACAGAGCUCAGAGAAAUCAUCUCUGCUGCAUCGAAGAAAGGAACUGAAGAAUAUUUACGGGUCGAAAUCUGAGGAAAAAAGUGCUACGUAUCCUCAACACGUUCAGAAAAAAUUAAAUGAGAUUGUACAACCACACGACGAUUGGGAAGCGGAUAACAUUAUAGAACAUAAUAAUCACGAUCAUGAUUAUGCUUUCUCCGAGACUCUCGAUUGUAAAAUACAUACAAUAAAAUACAAUAUGUCAGGUUUUUUUAUUUUAAUAUUAACUUUUUUCUGAAAUUGCUUGAAAUCUUAACAAUCUGUUGAUAUGCGCCUUAUAACAACUGUAUUCUCUAACAAUACUAACUAUACUAACUACUAACUAGUAAAGAGAAAAUUGUCAAGACUGACUAUACAUUAAAAAUUACGUUAUCAUU